AGCGGCAAGAGCUCAGAUUUGAAAUCUCACCUAGUGUGCGAGUUGUAAAUUGCAGGUUGGAGUCUCGGGUUAGACGUGUGUGCAAGUCCCUUGGAACAGGGUGCCACUGAGGGUGAGAGCCCCGUAGCGUGCAUGUCGAUACCUGUGAGGCCCUUCUGACGAGUCGAGUUGUUUGGGAAUGCAGCUCUAAGUGGGUGGUAAAUUCCAUCUAAGGCUAAAUAUUGGCGAGAGACCGAUAGCGAACAAGUACUGUGAAGGAAAGAUGAAAAGCACUUUGAAAAGAGAGUGAAACAGCACGUGAAAUUGUUGAAAGGGAAGGGUAUUGGGCUCGACAUGGGAUUUACGCAUCGUUGCCUCUCGUGGGCGGCGCUCUGGGUUUUUCCUGGGCCAGCAUCGGUUUUCGUUGCAGGAUAAGGACAAUUGGAAUGUGGCUCCUCGGAGUGUUAUAGCCUUUUGUAGAUGCUGCGUAUGGGGACCGAGGGCUGCGGCGGACUCGUUUCGUCUCGGAUGCUGGCACAACGGCGCAAUACCGCCCGUCU
This 539-nucleotide ribosomal RNA is filed under the name Pichia kluyveri. RNAcentral's name for it is "partial large subunit ribosomal RNA". It matches the Rfam family "Eukaryotic large subunit ribosomal RNA", at positions 97 to 654 of the family's 3401-position model. Lineage: Eukaryota; Fungi; Ascomycota; Pichiomycetes; Pichiales; Pichiaceae. The record is from RNAcentral.